This 28-nucleotide non-coding RNA is filed under the name Mus musculus (house mouse). Lineage: Eukaryota; Metazoa; Chordata; Mammalia; Rodentia; Muridae. The record is from RNAcentral.
UGGUGUCAGGAAGCCUUGGAAUAACAGU